RNAcentral lists this ribosomal RNA (253 nucleotides) under uncultured bacterium. RNAcentral's name for it is "partial 16S ribosomal RNA". It matches the Rfam family "Bacterial small subunit ribosomal RNA", at positions 524 to 776 of the family's 1533-position model. The record is from RNAcentral.
UACGGAGGGUGCGAGCGUUGUCCGGAAUCACUGGGCGUAAAGGGCGCGUAGGCGGCCUGAUAAGUAGGGGGUGAAAUCCUGCGGCUUAACCGCAGGGCUGCCUUCUAAACUGUCAGGCUGGAGCACAGUAGAGGCAGGUGGGAUUCCCGGUGUAGCGGUGGAAUGCGUAGAGAUCGGGAAGAACAUCAGUGGCGAAGGCGGCCUGCUGGGCUGUUGCUGACGCUGAGGCGCGACAGCGUGGGGAGCAAACAGG